GAUGAACGCUGGCGGCGUGCCUAAUACAUGCGAGUCGAGCGAACGGACGAGAAGCUUGCUUCUCUGAUGUUAGCGGCGGACGGGCGAGUAACACGUGGAUAACCUACCUAUAAGACUGGGAUAACUUCGGGAAACCGGAGCUAAUACCGGAUGAUAUUUUGAACCGCAUGGUUCAAAAGUGAAAGACGGUCUUGCUGUCACUUAUAGAUGGAUCCGCGCUGCAUUAGCUAGUUGGUAAGGUAACGGCUUACCAAGGCAACGAUGCAUAGCCGACCUGAGAGGGUGAUCGGCCACACUGGAACUGGGACACGGUCCAGACUCCUACGGGAGGCAGCAGUAGGGAAUCUUCCGCAAUGGGCGAAAUCCUGACGGAGCAACGCCGCGUGAGUGAUGAAGGUCUUCGGAUCGUAAAACUCUGUUAUUAGGGAAGAACAUAUGUGUAAGUAACUGUGCACAUCUUGACGGUACCUAAUCAGAAAGCCACGGCUAACUACGUG
This 497-nucleotide ribosomal RNA is filed under the name uncultured bacterium. RNAcentral's name for it is "partial 16S ribosomal RNA". It matches the Rfam family "Bacterial small subunit ribosomal RNA", at positions 28 to 507 of the family's 1533-position model. The record is from RNAcentral.